This is a non-coding RNA of Triticum aestivum (bread wheat), 115 nucleotides long. NCBI's taxonomy places the organism in Eukaryota, Viridiplantae, Streptophyta, Magnoliopsida, Poales, Poaceae. The record is from Rfam.
CAAGUACUCCCUCCGUUCGGAAUUACUUGUCUCGGAAAUGGAUGUAUUUAGAACUAAAAUAUAUCUAGAUACAUCCAUUUCUGCGACAAGUAAUCCCAAACGGAGGGAGUAUGUU